GGGCUUAGGUUAAAACAAACCAGGGGCCUUCAAAGCCCCAAAUAAGAGCCCACACUUAGCCCCUG
Molecule: transfer RNA, 65 nt
Filed under: Gehyra variegata
Lineage: Eukaryota; Metazoa; Chordata; Lepidosauria; Squamata; Gekkonidae
Description: tRNA-Trp
Source: RNAcentral